This 479-nucleotide ribosomal RNA is filed under the name uncultured bacterium. RNAcentral's name for it is "bacterial SSU rRNA". It matches the Rfam family "Bacterial small subunit ribosomal RNA", at positions 30 to 489 of the family's 1533-position model. The record is from RNAcentral.
AUUGAACGCUGGCGGCAGGCCUAACACAUGCAAGUCGAGCGGAAACGAGUUAUCUGAACCUUCGGGGAACGAUAACGGCGUCGAGCGGCGGACGGGUGAGUAAUGCCUAGGAAAUUGCCUUGAUGUGGGGGAUAACCAUUGGAAACGAUGGCUAAUACCGCAUAAUGCCUACGGGCCAAAGAGGGGGACCUUCGGGCCUCUCGCGUCAAGAUAUGCCUAGGUGGGAUUAGCUAGUUGGUGAGGUAAUGGCUCACCAAGGCGACGAUCCCUAGCUGGUCUGAGAGGAUGAUCAGCCACACUGGAACUGAGACACGGUCCAGACUCCUACGGGAGGCAGCAGUGGGAAUAUUGCACAAUGGGCGCAAGCCUGAUGCAGCCAUGCCGCGUGUAUGAAGAAGGCCUUUCGGGUUGUAAAGUACUUUCAGCAGUGAGGAAGGUUCAUGCGUUAAUAGCGUAUGGAUUUGACGUUUAGCUCAGAA